RNAcentral lists this transfer RNA (74 nucleotides) under Branchiostoma floridae (Florida lancelet). RNAcentral describes it as "tRNA-Ile (TAT) (tRNA-Ile-TAT-2-1)". It matches the Rfam family "tRNA". From Rfam's summary of the family: Transfer RNA (tRNA) molecules are approximately 80 nucleotides in length. Their secondary structure includes four short double-helical elements and three loops (D, anti-codon, and T loops). Lineage: Eukaryota; Metazoa; Chordata; Leptocardii; Amphioxiformes; Branchiostomatidae. RNAcentral also lists the same sequence under 1 other name. The record is from RNAcentral.
UCCCCAGUGGCGCAAUCGGUUAGCGCGCCGUACUUAUAAUGCGGAGGUUGUGAGUUCGAGCCUCACCUGGGGAA